GAUCUUGGUCAGGAUGAACGCAGCGACAGGCCCAACACAUGCAAGUCGAGGGCAGCGCGGAGUAGCAAUACUUGGCGGCGACCGGCGCACGGGUGAGUAACACGUAUGCCAACCAACCCAUAACAGGGGGAUAACCCGGAGAAAUCCGGACUAAUACCGCAUAAGACCACGAUAUCGCAUGAUAUAGAGGUCAAAUAUUUAUAGGUUAUGGACGGCAUGCGUCUGAUUAGCUGGUGGCGGGUAACGCCACAAGGCAUCGAUCAGUAGGGGUUCUGAGAGGAAGGUCCCCCACAUUGGAACUGAGACACGGUCCAAACUCCUACGGGAGGCAGCAGUGAGGAAUAUUGGUCAAUGGGCGAAAGCCUGAACCAGCCAUGUCGCGUGAAGGAAUGAAGGUCCUAUGGAUUGUAAACUUCUUUUGCAGGAGGGUAAAGUGAGCUACGUGUAGUUCAUUGCAAGUACCCUGCGAAUAAGCAUCGGCUAACUCCGUGCCAGCAGCCGC
RNAcentral lists this ribosomal RNA (502 nucleotides) under uncultured bacterium. RNAcentral describes it as "bacterial SSU rRNA". It matches the Rfam family "Bacterial small subunit ribosomal RNA", at positions 15 to 518 of the family's 1533-position model. The record is from RNAcentral.